RNAcentral lists this ribosomal RNA (253 nucleotides) under uncultured bacterium. RNAcentral's name for it is "partial 16S ribosomal RNA". It matches the Rfam family "Bacterial small subunit ribosomal RNA", at positions 524 to 776 of the family's 1533-position model. The record is from RNAcentral.
UACGGGGGGGGCAAGCGUUGUUCGGAAUUACUGGGCGUAAAGGGCUCGUAGGCGGCCAACUAAGUCCGACGUGAAAUCCCCAGGCUUAACCUGGGAACUGCGUCGGAUACUGGAUGGCUUGAAUCCGGGAGAGGGAUGCAGAAUUCCAGGUGUAGCGGUGAAAUGCGUAGAUAUGACAUAGAACACCAAUUGCGAAGGCAGCUCGUUACACGAAGAUUGACUCUGAGGCACGAAAGCGUGGGGAUCAAACAGG